CAAAUUUCUGCCUCUAAAAAACCCUGGAAAUGAAAUCUCUCCCACCAUAUUCUUGUAUAUAAUAAUUUAUAAUUUACAAAAUAGUUUUGGUUUAUUCAUUUACUUCCUGAACUGAGAGCGUUCAAUUAACAGUUUUUAGCCUGUACAUCAAGAGAAAUGCUGUCUACCAAUUGGUAAUGGCUGAAAUGGCACAAAUGGGUAGAGAUAUAAUAACAAGGCAG
RNAcentral lists this unclassified non-coding RNA (221 nucleotides) under Hevea brasiliensis (rubber tree). Lineage: Eukaryota; Viridiplantae; Streptophyta; Magnoliopsida; Malpighiales; Euphorbiaceae. The record is from RNAcentral.